RNAcentral lists this ribosomal RNA (492 nucleotides) under uncultured bacterium. RNAcentral describes it as "partial 16S ribosomal RNA". It matches the Rfam family "Bacterial small subunit ribosomal RNA", at positions 29 to 507 of the family's 1533-position model. The record is from RNAcentral.
AGUGAACGCUGGCGGUAGGCCUAACACAUGCAAGUCGAACGGCAGCACAGUAAGAGCUUGCUCUUACGGGUGGCGAGUGGCGGCCGGGUGAGGAAUACAUCGGAAUCUACUUUUUCGUGGGGGAUAACGUAGGGAAACUUACGCUAAUACCGCAUACGACCUACGGGUGAAAGCAGGGGAUCUUCGGACCUUGCGCGAUUGAAUGAGCCGAUGUCGGAUUAGCUAGUUGGCGGGGGAAAGGCCCACCAAGGCGACGAUCCGUAGCUGGUCUGAGAGGAUGAUCAGCCACACUGGAACUGAGACACGGUCCAGACUCCUACGGGAGGCAGCAGUGGGGAAUAUUGGACAAUGGGCGCAAGCCUGAUCCAGCCAUACCGCGUGGGUGAAGAAGGCCUUCGGGUUGUAAAGCCCUUUUGUUGGGAAAGAAAAGCAGCAGGUUAAUACCCCGCUGUUCUGACGGUACCCAAAGAAUAAGCACCGGCUAACUUCGUG